RNAcentral lists this ribosomal RNA (374 nucleotides) under uncultured organism. RNAcentral's name for it is "partial 16S ribosomal RNA". It matches the Rfam family "Bacterial small subunit ribosomal RNA", at positions 527 to 896 of the family's 1533-position model. The record is from RNAcentral.
GUAGGUGGCAAGCGUUGUCCGGAAUUAUUGGGCGUAAAGCGCGCGCAGGCGGUCCUUUAAGUCUGAUGUGAAAGCCCACGGCUCAACCGUGGAGGGUCAUUGGGAACUGGGGGACUUGAGUACAGAAGAGGAAAGCGGAAUUCCAAGUGUAGCGGUGAAAUGCGUAGAGAUUUGGAGGAACACCAGUGGCGAAGGCGGCUUUCUGGUCUGUAACUGACGCUGAGGCGCGAAAGCGUGGGGAGCAAACAGGGAUUAGAUACCCUGGUAGUCCACGCCGUAAACGAUGAGUGCUAAGUGUUAGGGGGUUUCCCGCCCCCUUAGUGCUGCAGCUAACGCAUUAAGCACUCCGCCUGGGGAGUACGGCCGCAAGGCUG